This 467-nucleotide ribosomal RNA is filed under the name uncultured bacterium. RNAcentral's name for it is "partial 16S ribosomal RNA". It matches the Rfam family "Bacterial small subunit ribosomal RNA", at positions 28 to 506 of the family's 1533-position model. The record is from RNAcentral.
GACGAACGCUGGCGGCGUGCUUAACACAUGCAAGUCGAACGGAAAGGCCCUGCUUUUGUGGGGUGCUCGAGUGGCGAACGGGUGAGUAACACGUGAGUAACCUGCCCUUGACUUUGGGAUAACUUCAGGAAACUGGGGCUAAUACCGGAUAGGAGCUCCUGCUGCAUGGUGGGGGUUGGAAAGUUUCGGCGGUUGGGGAUGGACUCGCGGCUUAUCAGCUUGUUGGUGGGGUAGUGGCUUACCAAGGCUUUGACGGGUGGCCGGCCUGAGAGGGUGACCGGCCACAUUGGGACUGAGAUACGGCCCAGACUCCUACGGGAGGCAGCAGUGGGGAAUAUUGCACAAUGGGCGGAAGCCUGAUGCAGCAACGCCGCGUGCGGGAUGACGGCCUUCGGGUUGUAAACCGCUUUCGCCUGUGACGAAGCGUGAGUGACGGUAAUGGGUAAAGAAGCACCGGCUAACUACGU